RNAcentral lists this non-coding RNA (180 nucleotides) under Candidatus Omnitrophota. RNAcentral's name for it is "Candidatus Omnitrophica c-di-GMP sequence". It matches the Rfam family "c-di-GMP-I riboswitch aptamer". Rfam says of the family: GEMM was predicted in a large-scale screen for bacterial structured RNA regulatory elements. The record is from RNAcentral. Lineage: Bacteria; Pseudomonadati.
GCGACAAAAAGGCAAACCUCGAGGUAACUUGGGGGGCGCAAAACCACGGAUCCUUAUAGACACAGAUGAUCACAGAUUGACAAAACACAGAUGAUCACAGAUUAUAUCUGUGCUAAUCUGUAUUGACGCGAAGCAUCUGUGUUAAUCUGUGAAGCGAAGCAGGACGGCCGGGCUGCCGAA